This 495-nucleotide ribosomal RNA is filed under the name uncultured bacterium. RNAcentral describes it as "partial 16S ribosomal RNA". It matches the Rfam family "Bacterial small subunit ribosomal RNA", at positions 30 to 507 of the family's 1533-position model. The record is from RNAcentral.
UGAACGCUGGCGGCGUGCCUAAUACAUGCAAGUCGAGCGAACAGAUAAGGAGCUUGCUCCUUUGACGUUAGCGGCGGACGGGUGAGUAACACGUGGGUAACCUACCUAUAAGACUGGAAUAACUCCGGGAAACCGGGGCUAAUGCCGGAUAACAUGUUGAACCGCAUGGUUCUACAGUGAAAGGCGGCUUUGCUGUCACUUAUAGAUGGACCCGCGCCGUAUUAGCUAGUUGGUGAGGUAACGGCUCACCAAGGCAACGAUACGUAGCCGACCUGAGAGGGUGAUCGGCCACACUGGAACUGAGACACGGUCCAGACUCCUACGGGAGGCAGCAGUAGGGAAUCUUCCGCAAUGGGCGAAAGCCUGACGGAGCAACGCCGCGUGAGUGAUGAAGGUCUUCGGAUCGUAAAACUCUGUUAUUAGGGAAGAACAAAUGCGUAAGUAACUGUGCGCGUCUUGACGGUACCUAAUCAGAAAGCCACGGCUAACUACGUG